GGUUCGAUUAUGGCUCAGAUUGAACGCUGGCGGAUGCUUUGCAUACACGCAAGUCGAAACGGGCAGCACGGACUCUGGUCUGGUGGCGAGUGGCGAACGGGUGAGUAGUCGUAUCGGAACGUGCUCAGUAGGAUAACUACGAAAGCGUAGCUAAUACCGCAUACGCCCUUCGGGGGAAAGCGGGGACCCUUCGGGCCUCGCACCAGAGCGGCCGAUAUCGGAUUAGCCGAAGUUGGUGGGUAACGGCUCACCAAGGCGACGAUCCGUAGCUGGUCGAGAGGACGACCAGCCACACUGGGACUGAGACACGGCCCAGACUCCUACGGGAGGCAGUGCGGGGAAUUUUGGACAAUGGGGAAACCUGAUCCAGCCAUCCGCGUGUGCGAUGAAGGCCUUCGGGUUGCAAAAAAGCACCGGGCAGUGAAGAAAACGGCACGGAUACACCCCGUGCAACUGAUUUGUACCUGCAGAAUAAGCACCGGCUAACUACGCCAGCAGCCGCGGUAAUACGUAGGGUGUGGUGCCGUUAAUCGGAAUUACUGGGCGCAGCGUGCGCAGGCGGUUCGGAAAAGAAAGAUGUGAAAUCCCAGAGCUUAACUUUGGAACUGCAUUUUUAACUACCGAGCUAGAGUGUGUCAGAGGGGAGGUGAGAAUUCCGCGUGUAGCAGUGAAAUGCGUAGAUAUGCGGAGGAACACCGAUGGCGAAGGCAGCUCCCGGGAUAACACGACGCUCAUGCACGAAAGCGUGGGGAGCAAACACAGACGAUACCCUGCAGUCCAUUUAAACGAUGUCAACCAGCUGUUGGGGCCUUCGGGCCUUGGUAGCGCAGCCAACGCGUGAAGUUGACCGCCUGGGGAAAGUACGGUCGCAAGAUUAAAACCAAAGGAAUUGACGGGGACCCGCACAAGCGGUGGAUGAUGUGGAUUAAUCUGAUGCAACGCGAAAACCUACCUACCCUUGACAUGUUCGGAAUCCCGAAGAGAUUUGGGAGUGUUCGCAAGAGAACCGGAACACAGGUGCUGCAUGGCUGUCGUCAGCUCGUGUCGUGAGAUGCUGGGCUAAGUCCCGCAACGAGCGCAACCCUUGUCAUUAGUUGCUACGAAAGGGCACUCUAUCGAGACUGCCGGUGACAAACCGAGGAAGGUGGGGAUGACGCUGUUCUCAUGGCCCUUAUGGGUAGGGCUUCACACGUCAUACAAUGGUCGGGACAGAGGGUCGCCAACCCGCGAGGGGAGCCAAUCCCCAGAAACCUGAUCAGCCCGGAUCGUUCGUAACUCGACUGCGUGAAGUCGGAAUCGCGGUAAUCGCGGAUCAGCAUGUCGCGGUGAAUACGUUCCCGGGUCUUGUACACACUGCCCGUCACACAUGGAGUGGGUUUUACCAGAAGUAGUUAGCCUAACCGUAAGGAGGGCGAUUACCACGGUAGGAUUCAUGACUGGGGUGAAGUCGUACGCUGCAGCC
RNAcentral lists this ribosomal RNA (1462 nucleotides) under uncultured Bordetella sp. RNAcentral's name for it is "partial 16S-23S ribosomal RNA intergenic spacer". It matches the Rfam family "Bacterial small subunit ribosomal RNA". Lineage: Bacteria; Pseudomonadati; Pseudomonadota; Betaproteobacteria; Burkholderiales; Alcaligenaceae. The record is from RNAcentral.